GGAUGAACGCUGGCGGCGUGCCUAACACAUGCAAGUCGAGCGAGAAACCAUCGAUUGAAACUUCGGUAGAUAUUGAAGGCGGAAAGCGGCGGACGGGUGAGUAACGCGUAGGCAACCUGCCCUUUGCAGAGGGAUAGCAACGGGAAACUGUUAUUAAAACCUCAUAAUACCGACAUGUCAAAUGACAAGACGGUCAAAGAUUUAUCGGCAAAGGAUGGGCCUGCGUCUGAUUAGUUAGUUGGUAGGGUAACGGCCUACCAAGGCAGCGAUCAGUAGCCGACCUGAGAGGGUGAUCGGCCACAUUGGAACUGAGACACGGUCCAAACUCCUACGGGAGGCAGCAGUGGGGAAUAUUGCACAAUGGGCGAAAGCCUGAUGCAGCAACGCCGCGUGAAGGAUGAAGGCCUUUGGGUCGUAAACUUCUGUCCUUGGGGAAGAAAAAAAUGACGGUACCCCUGGAGGAAGUCCCGGCUAACUACGUGCCAGCAGCCGCGGUAAUACGUAGGGGGCGAGCGUUAUCCGGAAUUAUUGGGCGUAAAGAGUACGUAGGUGGUUUUUUAAGCGCAGGGUUUAAGGCGAUGGCUCAACUGUCGUUCGCCCUGUGAACUGGAAGACUUGAGUACAGGAGAGGAAAGCGGAAUUCCUAGUGUAGCGGUGAAAUGCAUAGAUAUUAGGAGGAACACCAGUGGCGAAGGCGGCUUUCUGGACUGUAACUGACACUGAGGUACGAAAGCGUGGGGAGCAAACAGGAUUAGAUACCCUGGUAGUCCACGCUGUAAACGAUGAGCACUAGGUGUCGGGGUCGCAAGAUCUCGGUGCCGGAGUUAACGCAUUAAGUGCUCCGCCUGGGGAGUACGCACGCAAGUGUGAAACUCAAAGGAAUUGACGGGGACCCGCACAAGCAGCGGAGCAUGUGGUUUAAUUCGAAGCAACGCGAAGAACCUUACCAGAACUUGACAUCCUCCUGACAGGCCUUUAAUCGGGCCCUUCUUCGGACAGGAGAGACAGGUGGUGCAUGGUUGUCGUCAGCUCGUGUCGUGAGAUGUUGGGUUAAGUCCCGCAACGAGCGCAACCCUUGUCAUUAGUUGCUAACAUUAAGUUGAGGACUCUAAUGAGACUGCCGGGGACAACUCGGAGGAAGGUGGGGAUGACGUCAAAUCAUCAUGCCCCUUAUGUUCUGGGCUACACACGUGCUACAAUGGCCGGUACAACGAGAAGCGAAGUCGCAAGGCGGAGCAAACCUCAAAAACCGGUCCCAGUUCGGAUUGCAGGCUGAAACCCGCCUGCAUGAAGCCGGAGUUGCUAGUAAUCGCGAAUCAGAAUGUCGCGGUGAAUGCGUUCCCGGGUCU
This 1349-nucleotide ribosomal RNA is filed under the name uncultured bacterium. Its description in RNAcentral is "bacterial SSU rRNA". It matches the Rfam family "Bacterial small subunit ribosomal RNA", at positions 27 to 1381 of the family's 1533-position model. The record is from RNAcentral.